RNAcentral lists this ribosomal RNA (440 nucleotides) under uncultured bacterium. RNAcentral's name for it is "partial 16S ribosomal RNA". It matches the Rfam family "Bacterial small subunit ribosomal RNA", at positions 338 to 795 of the family's 1533-position model. The record is from RNAcentral.
CCUACGGGAGGCAGCAGUGGGGAAUAUUGCACAAUGGGGGAAACUCUGAUGCAGCGACGCCGCGUGAGUGAAGAAGUAAUUCGUUGUGUAAAGCUCUAUCAGCAGGGAAGAAAAUGACGGUACCUGAGUAAGAAGCCCCGGCUAACUACGUUCCAGCAGCCGCGGUAAUACGUAGGGGGCAAGCGUUAUCCGGAUUUACUGGGUGUAAAGGGAGCGUAGCCGGCUGUGCAAGUCUGGAGUGAAAGGCGGGGGCUCAACCCCCGGACUGCUCUGGAAACUGUACGGCUGGAGUGCAGGAGAGGUAGGUGGAAUUCAUAGUGUAGCGGUGAAAUGCGUAGAUAUUAGGAGGAACACCAGUGGCGAAGGCGGCUUACUGGACUGUAACUGACGUUGAGGCUCGAAAGCGUGGGGAGCAAACAGGAUUAGAUACCCGGGUAGUC